Long non-coding RNA from Oncorhynchus tshawytscha (Chinook salmon), 1106 nucleotides. The record is from Ensembl. NCBI's taxonomy places the organism in Eukaryota, Metazoa, Chordata, Actinopteri, Salmoniformes, Salmonidae.
AGGGUUCUUCUUAUUAUAACUUUAUUUAUUUUAUUUUGUUGAAUAUCAGUAACAUUUAAGUGUUUUUUUUGUUUAACCUUACUGUAUUUUAAGACAACAACAACAAAAAUGGUGAUUCUCUGCAUAACAUUUUGUUGUGUAUAUCUUUUUACAUGUGGAUCUUAAAUGGCUGUUUUUAUUGUAAUGAUUGGUUGAUAUUACACUGUAGGAGUCACCAUUCUGCUUUUGAUACAUACAGGUUAUACCAAAGUCUUGGGCCUUCGAUAGACAGCCGGGUAACAGGUUAAUACCAUGUCGGUUCUGGAAAUAAACCAACAUUCCAAGUCAAAUUUUCCAUCCUCAUUUGGGGAAAAUGCAAAUGGUGGAAAAUUGGGAAUUAUUGGAAUUUUCAGUUUGCUUGCGGAAUUGGAAUGGAUUUGACCCCUAACCUUUGACAAGCAGUCUGAAGGGGGCUGUUCAUUGUCUGUUCAGCCCAAGCAGCAUGAGUCUGACCAGAUUUACUGUUAUACAGUAUCACUAGCCUGUCAUCAGAGAGAGAUACCACAUCUGUAUCAGAAGCCUGUCAUCAGAGAGAGAUACCACAUCAGUAUCACUAGCCUGUCAUCAGAGAGAGAUACCACAUCUAGAUCAGUAGCCUGUCAUCAGAGAGAGACCACAUCUGUAUCAGUAGCCUGUCAUCAGAGAGAGAUACCACAUCUGUAUCAGUAGCCUGUCAUCAGAGAGAGAUACCACAUCUGUAUCAGUAGCCUGUCAUCAGAGAGAGAUACCACAUCUGUAUCAGUAGCCUGUCAUCAGAGAGAGAUACCACAUCUGUAUCAGUAGCCUGUCAUCAGAGAGAGAUCGAUACACCACGUCUGUAUAUACUGUAGCUUGACUAGUUGCACAAUUAAAAUAUUUAGGACACACAAUUAUGAUAUAUGCACAUAUAAACGUUGUUCUCUUACACUUUGAAAAUAAACCAACAUUUGAUGAAUAGAUUUUUUGGGGGGGGGGCAUUGUUAUGAUCUGAUUUAUUUUGUUCGUAAAUGUAUUUCGUUACUUAGUAUAUGGUAAUAGUUAUGACUGUAACCCAGAACUCAGUAAUAAUGUAUAUUUAUGUCAAUACA